UACAGAGGUCCCAAGCGUUGUUCGGAUUCACUGGGCGUAAAGGGUGCGUAGGCGGUCGGGUAAGUCUGAUGUGAAAUCUCACAGCUUAACUGUGAAACUGCAUUGGAUACUAUCCGGCUAGAGGAAUGGAGGGGAGACUGGAAUACUUGGUGUAGCAGUGAAAUGCGUAGAUAUCAAGUGGAACACCAGUGGCGAAGGCGGUUCUCUGGGCAUUACCUGACGCUGAGGAGCGAAAGUGUGGGGAGCGAACAGG
Molecule: ribosomal RNA, 253 nt
Filed under: uncultured bacterium
Lineage: Bacteria
Description: partial 16S ribosomal RNA
Rfam family: Bacterial small subunit ribosomal RNA
Source: RNAcentral